AUGGGAUGCUCCAGCUCGACGCUUGCGCGCGGCGGCGUAGACAUGUCGGCGCUGCCGGCGCCGGCGCGGCCAGAGAGGCGGCAUAGCCUUCCUUCACGCGCCGCCUCGGCGCUGGGCUCCCACGGCCUCUGCCGCGGCCGGCACGACGGCCUGCACCCCUACACGAGGUUGCCGCUCGAAGAGACGGUAAAGGGCGAAGCCGAAUACGGAGCACCGUCAGCGGAGGCGAAGGCCGCUUCCUUCAGUGGGGAUGCGGCGGCGUGGCCUGCGGAGGGCCGCGCGCCGGUCAAGCUAUCGCCGGCCGGAAUUCUUGAGGGCGCAGCAUCGGCAACGUCGAGCACAGCGCAUUGGACCGCAUCAGCGACUUCGAGCACGCCGCAAUUUUCAGCUUCGCCGAGUUGGUUCCGUGGAGAAUCAUCGUCGCCGCCACCGCCGGUGCAGUUUGUGGCGCCUGACUUUGACCCAGCGAUCCUGUCCCUGUUCCGCGAGGCCUUGGUGGGACAGUCACCGUCUCACCCGGCGGUUCUCUUCCCAGAGAAUGAGGCCACGACCCUGCGGGAGACGGCCGCCUUGGACGAGGCGGUGCCGCCGGCCGCCCGGGACAUGCCGGAGGUGACCGGCUUGGUUCGCGCGCGUGUCGACGAGUUCCACAAGAAGCUGGAGGAGAUGAAGGAGAUGAAGGAAGCUGAGGCCCAGAGCGCCACCCGCGACGCCACGGACGAGGUGGCGGCGCCUCCUCCGAGGAAGGCGGUGGUAGUGUACUUCACCAGCAUCCGCGGCGUGCGCAAGACGUUCGCGGACGGCGCGGCCGUGCGCGCCAUCCUGUUCUCCUACCGCGUGCGCGUGGACGAGCGCGACGUGUCCAUGCACGCCGCCUUCAAGGACGAGCUCCGCAACCUCGUCAGCCUCGCCGCGGGGGGCGGGCACGUGCUCCCCCGCGUUUUCGUCUUGGGCGAUGGCGAGCAGCAGCAAGACCUUGGGGGCGCCGACGAGGUGAGCGCGCUGCACGAGAGCGGCGAGCUCGCUCACGCGCUGGCCGGGUGCGAGACGGUGGCGGCGCUCCUCCCCCCGUGCGUCGGGUGCGGUGACUUGCGGUUCCUGCCCUGCGACAGGUGCUUCGGCAGCUGCAAGCUCUUCGCCGGCGACGAGGGUGGGUGCGUGGGUGACAUGUUCGAGGAGUGCACGCACUGCAACGAGAACGGGCUCAUCAGGUGCCCGGUCUGCUGCCUCUGA
Molecule: ribosomal RNA, 1233 nt
Filed under: Triticum aestivum (bread wheat)
Lineage: Eukaryota; Viridiplantae; Streptophyta; Magnoliopsida; Poales; Poaceae
Description: partial small subunit ribosomal RNA
Source: RNAcentral